CUCUGGACCCUGGGAUCAUGUCCUGAGAGCCAAAGGCAGACGCUUAACCGACUGAACCACGAAGAACCCAGAUAGAGUUGAUGCUUCACUGUGUUCCUAAUUGAAGAAAGAUUAAUAUAGUGGAUUCUCACUGACAAAGAUUGGGAAGAUAAAGAAGCUUGGAAGGAAAGAUAGGAAUCUUU
Molecule: long non-coding RNA, 182 nt
Organism: Canis lupus familiaris (dog)
Lineage: Eukaryota; Metazoa; Chordata; Mammalia; Carnivora; Canidae
Exons: 2
Source: RefSeq, a predicted model, not a curated record